RNAcentral lists this ribosomal RNA (672 nucleotides) under Triticum aestivum (bread wheat). RNAcentral describes it as "partial small subunit ribosomal RNA". Lineage: Eukaryota; Viridiplantae; Streptophyta; Magnoliopsida; Poales; Poaceae. The record is from RNAcentral.
AUGGAAGAGCAAUGGAGACUUACAGGGUUCUAUGGUGAGCCCAAAUGGGAGGACAAACACUUGUCGUGGAGUUGUUUGCGUGGUGUAUCUCAACAGAACCAACUCCCAUGGGUAGUUGUGGGCGAUUUUAACGAGAUCUUGUACUCGCAUGAGAAGGAGGGGGGAGCGCCGAGGCCAGUUAAUAUGAUGCAGAAUUUCAGAGAUGCACUGGUCGACUGUGAACUUGAGGAUAUGGGUUUUGUUGGUGAGCAGUUUACAUGGCGAAGGCGCAGAUUGAGGGAGCGUUUGGACAGAGCAGUUUGUAAUGGAGCUUUCCUUGGCUUGUUUCCUGUUGCUGUAGUCACAAAUGCACCGCAUACAAAAUCAGAUCACAGGCCGGUGGUGAUUGACUUGGAAGGUGUAGUGGGCAUGGACCAGCAGAACAACUUUAGGCCAAAACAAUUUGAAGCUCGCUGGUUACAAGAGGAGGAGAUGACGCAAAGGGUCACAGAGGCCUGGGAAAGGACAUGUAUGUCUGAGUGUUUGGCAAAUCGCACGGCGGCUGUCCAUCAGGAUCUGCAUAAGUGGGACCGGGAAGUCCUGAAAGCACCGCACUGGCGGUUAAAGCAUCUCAAGGAGGAGUUGGAACAGCUGCGAUCGGGGCCACUCACUGACGAGUCGGCAGAUAGGUAG